UACGGAGGUGGCAAGCGUUGUUCGGAGUUAUUGGGCGUAAAGGGCGUGUAGGCGGCUCAUCAAGUCUGGUGUGAAAACGCAGGGCUUAACCUUGCGGAUGCGCUGGAAACUGGUGGGCUUGAGUUCUUGAGGGGAAGCUGGAAUUCCAGGUGUAGGGGUGAAAUCUGUAGAUAUCUGGAAGAACACCGGUGGCGAAGGCGAGCUUCUAUCAGAGGACUGACGCUGAGGCGCGAAAGCGUGGGGAGCAAAC
RNAcentral lists this ribosomal RNA (250 nucleotides) under uncultured bacterium. RNAcentral's name for it is "partial 16S ribosomal RNA". It matches the Rfam family "Bacterial small subunit ribosomal RNA", at positions 524 to 773 of the family's 1533-position model. The record is from RNAcentral.